UGAGGAAUAUUGGUCAAUGGCCGCGAGGCUGAACCAGCCAAGUCGCGUGAGGGAAGACGGCCCUACGGGUUGUAAACCUCUUUUGUCGGGGAGCAACGGACGUCACGAGUGGCGUUAUGAGAGUACCCGAAGAAAAAGCAUCGGCUAACUCCGUGCCAGCAGCCGCGGUAAUACGGAGGAUGCGAGCGUUAUCCGGAUUUAUUGGGUUUAAAGGGUGCGCAGGCGGCCAGGCAAGUCAGCGGUCAAAAUGCGGGGCUCAACCCCGUCGAGCCGUUGAAACUUCCGGGCUAGAGUGCGCGAGAAGUAUGCGGAAUGCGUGGUGUAGCGGUGAAAUGCAUAGAUAUCACGCAGAACUCCGAUUGCGAAGGCAGCAUACCGGCGCGCAACUGACGCUCAUGCACGAAAGCGUGGGUAUCGAACAGG
This 423-nucleotide ribosomal RNA is filed under the name uncultured bacterium. RNAcentral's name for it is "bacterial SSU rRNA". It matches the Rfam family "Bacterial small subunit ribosomal RNA", at positions 355 to 776 of the family's 1533-position model. The record is from RNAcentral.